RNAcentral lists this ribosomal RNA (497 nucleotides) under uncultured bacterium. Its description in RNAcentral is "partial 16S ribosomal RNA". It matches the Rfam family "Bacterial small subunit ribosomal RNA", at positions 28 to 507 of the family's 1533-position model. The record is from RNAcentral.
GAUGAACGCUGGCGGCGUGCCUAAUACAUGCAAGUCGAGCGAACGGACGAGAAGCUUGCUUUUCUGAUGUUAGCGGCGGACGGGUGAGUAACACGUGGAUAACCUACCUAUAAGACUGGGAUAACUUCGGGAAACCGGAGCUAAUACCGGAUAAUAUUUUGAACCGCAUGGUUCAAAAGUGAAAGACGGUCUUGCUGUCACUUAUAGAUGGAUCCGCGCUGCAUUAGCUAGUUGGUAAGGUAACGGCUUACCAAGGCAACGAUGCAUAGCCGACCUGAGAGGGGGGGCGGCCACACGGGAACUGUAGCACGUUAGGGACGACGGCGGGAGGCAGCAGUAGGGGAUCGUACGAAAAGGUCGAAAGCAUGAAGGAGUAGCGCAGGGAGAGUGAUGAAGGUCAUAGGAACGUGAAAAUGUCUUAUUAGGGAAAAACAAAGGAGUAAGUGACUGUGCAGAGCGAGACGGUACGGAAUCAGAAAGCCAAGCAGAAGCAGGUG